GGGCCCGCACAAGCGGUGGAGUAUGUGGUUUAAUUCGAUGCAACGCGAAGAACCUUACCAGGGUUUGACAUCCUGCGAAUCUCUUGGAAACGAGAGAGUGCCUUCGGGAACGCAGUGACAGGUGGUGCAUGGCUGUCGUCAGCUCGUGUCGUGAGAUGUUGGGUUAAGUCCCGCAACGAGCGCAACCCACGUCGUUAGUUGCCAGCAUUUAGUUGGGCACUCUAGCGAGACCGCCGGUGAUAAACCGGAGGAAGGCGGGGAUGACGUCAAGUCCUCAUGGCCCUUAUGGGCUGGGCUACACACGUGCUACAAUGGCAGUGACAGAGGGACGCUACCUCGCGAGAGGACGCAAAUCUCAAAAAGCUGUCUCAGUUCGGAUUGUUGUCUGCAACUCGACAACAUG
RNAcentral lists this ribosomal RNA (403 nucleotides) under uncultured bacterium. RNAcentral describes it as "bacterial SSU rRNA". It matches the Rfam family "Bacterial small subunit ribosomal RNA", at positions 917 to 1322 of the family's 1533-position model. The record is from RNAcentral.